GAUGAACGCUGGCGGCAUGCUUAACACAUGCAAGUCUAGCUGAACGACGAUGUGCUUGGCGGUCGGGUGAGUGACGCGUACAGAACUUGCAUCACAGUUAGGGCCACCAUUUAGACACGAAUGCUAAUACCAGAUCGUAUGUUUUAAGGGCAUAUUAAGUUUAUGACAGCUAUCUGUACUGUAAGAGAGCUUUGCGUCCCAUUAGCUAGUUGGUGGGGUAACGGUUUACAAAGGCAACGAUGCGUGGCCGACCUGAGAGGGUGGUCGGCCACACUGGAACGGGGACACGGUCCAGACUCCUACGGGAGGCAGCAGUAGCGAAUCUGCCGCAAUGGGCGAGAGCCUGGCGGAGCAACGCCGAGUGAGUGAUGAAGGUCUUCGGAUCGUAAAACUCUGUUUUUAGGGAAGAAAAAAUGUUUAAGUAACUAAGCAAAUAUUGACGGUACCUAAUAAGAAAGCCACGGCUAACUACGUG
RNAcentral lists this ribosomal RNA (475 nucleotides) under uncultured bacterium. RNAcentral's name for it is "partial 16S ribosomal RNA". It matches the Rfam family "Bacterial small subunit ribosomal RNA", at positions 28 to 507 of the family's 1533-position model. The record is from RNAcentral.